This 468-nucleotide ribosomal RNA is filed under the name uncultured bacterium. Its description in RNAcentral is "partial 16S ribosomal RNA". It matches the Rfam family "Bacterial small subunit ribosomal RNA", at positions 28 to 507 of the family's 1533-position model. The record is from RNAcentral.
GACGAACGCUGGCGGCGUGCUUAACACAUGCAAGUCGAACGGAAAGGCCCUGCUUUUGUGGGGUGCUCGAGUGGCGAACGGGUGAGUAACACGUGAGUAACCUGCCCUUGACUUUGGGAUAACUUCAGGAAACUGGGGCUAAUACCGGGUAGGAGCUCCUGCUGCAUGGUGGGGGUUGGAAAGUUUCGGCGGUUGGGGAUGGACUCGCGGCUUAUCAGCUUGUUGGUGGGGUAGUGGCUUACCAAGGCUUUGACGGGUAGCCGGCCUGGGAGGGUGACCGGCCACAUUGGGACUGAGAUACGGCCCAGACUCCUACGGGAGGCAGCAGUGGGGAAUAUUGCACAAUGGGCGGAAGCCUGAUGCAGCAACGCCGCGUGCGGGAUGACGGCCUUCGGGUGGUAAACCGCUUUCGCCUGUGACGAAGCGUGAGUGACGGUAAUGGGUAAAGAAGCACCGGCUAACUACGUG